UAUUGUCCUCCUCGAGGGUGUCGCCCAGGGGUCGCGUGUUUCUCGUCMUGCGUCGGGACGGCGCAUGAGUGGCUUUUAGGAUGUGAUCCCAGGGCUGGCUCCAUGUUUCUACCAUCGAAUUGCCCUGGUCCGUCCGCUUCAUUAGGUGGCUCGCCUCAACGGCCUUCCAGGGUUGGUUGCGGCUGCACGGCGGGUUCCUGUGUUCGAUAUUCUGAUACGGCAGUCGGACGGGUAUACUCGUCCCUUCAUGGUUCCGUCGAUCCACCUCCGUCUCUCUUGAGUUGGUGACUAUCAUCGAGCGGGCAUCUGACGUCCUCCAUCGGGAAAGGCGACCCCCUCUCGGGCGCUUCUUCUCGUGAAGGGGGGCGUAGGUGCUGACGGGCAUGCUCUCGGGUAUGGUGGUGUUUUCGUUGGUUUCCGCAUCGGUCCUCGUCGGCCGUUUUGUGACCCAUAAGUGUCGUGAGGCGUUAGCGCUAUUGCUCGCUCGACUCCCCCGCUUUUUCUCCAAGGGCUCACGGAGCUUCACCGCUCCGUGAGCGUCUUGGGGAGGCACGGUGGUAUAUGGAGGGAUGCUACCUGGAUGAUCCUGCCAGUAUCAU
Molecule: unclassified non-coding RNA, 599 nt
Filed under: Appendicularia pullei
Lineage: Eukaryota; Viridiplantae; Streptophyta; Magnoliopsida; Myrtales; Melastomataceae
Description: Ernestia pullei partial may contain 26S ribosomal RNA, external transcribed spacer, 18S ribosomal RNA
Source: RNAcentral